This 447-nucleotide ribosomal RNA is filed under the name uncultured bacterium. RNAcentral's name for it is "partial 16S ribosomal RNA". It matches the Rfam family "Bacterial small subunit ribosomal RNA", at positions 28 to 523 of the family's 1533-position model. The record is from RNAcentral.
GGUGAACGCUGGCGAUGUGCCUAAGACAUGCAAGUCGAGCGCCCCGCAAGGGGAGCGGCAGACGGGUGAGUAACGCGUGGGAAUCUACCCAUCUCUACGGAAUAACGCAUGGAAACGUGUGCUAAUACCGUAUACGUCCUUCGGGAGAAAGAUUUAUCGGGGAUGGAUGAGCCCGCGUUGGAUUAGCUAGUUGGUGGGGUAAAGGCCUACCAAGGCGACGAUCCAUAGCUGGUCUGAGAGGAUGAUCAGCCACACUGGGACUGAGACACGGCCCAGACUCCUACGGGAGGCAGCAGUGGGGAGUAUUGGACAAUGGGCGCAAGCCUGAUCCAGCCAUGCCGCGUGAGUGAUGAAGGCCCUAGGGUUGUAAAGCUCUUUCACCGGUGAAGAUAAUGACGGUAACCGGAGAAGAAGCCCCGGCUAACUUCGUGCCAGCCGCCGCAGUAA